This 527-nucleotide ribosomal RNA is filed under the name uncultured bacterium. RNAcentral describes it as "partial 16S ribosomal RNA". It matches the Rfam family "Bacterial small subunit ribosomal RNA", at positions 28 to 523 of the family's 1533-position model. The record is from RNAcentral.
GACGAACGCUGGCGGCGUGCCUAAUACAUGCAAGUCGAACGAGAAUUUUUUACACCGAGUGCUUGCACUCACCGUAAGAAAUUCGAGUGGCGGACGGGUGAGUAACACGUGGGUAACCUGCCCAAAAGAAGGGGAUAACAUUUGGAAACAAAUGCUAAUACCGUAUAACCAUGAUGACCGCAUGGUCAUUAUGUAAAAGGUGGUUUUGCUAUCGCUUUUGGAUGGACCCGCGGCGUAUUAACUAGUUGGUAGGGUAACGGCCUACCAAGGUGAGGAGACGUAGCCGAGUUGAGAGACUGAUCGGCCACAAUAGGACUGAGACACGGCCCAUACUCCUACGGGAGGCAGCAGUAGGGAAUCUUCCACAAUGGGCGCAAGCCUGAUGGAGCAACGCCGCGUGAAUGAAGAAGGUCUUCGGAUCGUAAAAUUCUGUUGUUAGAGAAGAAUAUGAGUAAUAGUAACUGAUUAUUCACUGACGGUAUCUAACCAGCAAGUCACGGCUAACUACGUGCCAGCCGCCGCAGUAA